UACGAGGGGGGCGAGCGUUGUUCGGAAUUAUUGGGCGUAAAGGGUGCGUAGGCGGCUUGGUAAGUCUUGUGUGAAAUCUACAGGCUCAACUUGUAGUCUGCAUGAGAAACUGCCGGGCUUGAGUAUGGGAGAGGUGAGUGGAAUUCCUGGUGUAGCGGUGAAAUGCGUAGAUAUCAGGAGGAACACCUGUGGCGAAAGCGGCUCACUGGACCAUAACUGACGCUGAUGCACGAAAGCUAGGGGAGCAAACAGG
This 253-nucleotide ribosomal RNA is filed under the name uncultured bacterium. RNAcentral's name for it is "partial 16S ribosomal RNA". It matches the Rfam family "Bacterial small subunit ribosomal RNA", at positions 524 to 776 of the family's 1533-position model. The record is from RNAcentral.